This 637-nucleotide small RNA is filed under the name Histoplasma ohiense. RNAcentral describes it as "hypothetical lncRNA". The record is from RNAcentral. Lineage: Eukaryota; Fungi; Ascomycota; Eurotiomycetes; Onygenales; Ajellomycetaceae.
ACGACUUGAAACUUCUGUCAAAGACACGCCAAAAUGGCCAGCCUAGCUCAUAUUGGGAAAACCUACCACGACCCGACUGAUGGGAACUCUAGUCAAUGUCAGCUGGAUCCAUGUUAUCCAAAUUGAACUGGCAAAAUACUCUACACGAGACGCCUCAAUUCUCGGUCCGAUAUCACUAUGCAUCUAGAUGCACUGUGUGAUUCCUUUUUAGUACCUCGUGGAGUAUUGAUAAAAUUGAAUCCGACUUGAUUGGACACUCCUCUGACGUCUUACCUUUUUGACAACGGGAAUCUUAACACCAAUUGAGUGCGUUAGUGUCUUGUGAAAUACGGGGCGCCUAGCUCUCUUCAAGAUUACCAUGCUUGCUGUUAUCUAGCUGACAUCACAGUAUGGAAACCUAACUUUAACCUUAACUAUGGUAAAGUUUUUAUGGAAUUAUUAGUGUUGGAAUAUCUUUGAUGCUGGCCAGCCCGAAUAGUGCACGCCAUAUAAUUGGGGGCCAUAAAGCCUCAGAAAGGAGUGGUUCCAAUAAUAUAUAUAUUUCUCUCGGAUAUAACCUUUGUGUGGCUUUCACUGUCGAUAAGCACAGUGAGAUGGAUAGAAUGAAACCAAUAAAAGAAUGGUGAAAAAAGAAAGG